AGGAAAUGAUCGUGUGUAAACAAUCGUCAAUGAAGCAUAUUUCGAGCUCUGGCAAUUUGCAACAACGAUAAAAAAAGGCCAUGCUCUUUUGAUACCGAAAACAUACCUUACAGCUUCAUCACAUUCUUCCAUGUUGGGCAGCCGGCUUCAGCGAAGGGUGAGCAGAUUAUUAAGUGGAAACUCGGAAUAAAGAGAUCUAAGAUAAACAACUUGCUGCCAUGAUACAAGGUAAAAUUCUUCAUCACAUUGUAAAAAUUGAUUUUUUAACUUCAUCUAUGUAAGCCUGCAUACAAUGGGGGGGGGGGGUAGGGCUAUUUUUGCAUACCUGCAUGCCUAUAACAAGCUUAUUGAGCUAUCCGCUAGCCACAUUGAGUCACUAUCCAGCGGUUGGCUUAUAUGUGAAGGAUUGAUCCAAAUGUCCAAAUGGGGAGAGCACCAUGCCACUUGAGCAUAAGCUAAACCUGAUAUGAACUGCAAAUGUGCUAUUUUGCAACUUUUUAGUGGGUUAAUCUUAAAAUAUGACUAUCAACUUGUGCACUAAUUGUAUAGAAUUAGUGACUUAUCUGGCUGUCAUCCGAUUGGAAAUAGUGCAGUGUUCUUCAAGCUCAUAGUCAAAUAGACCUUAAAGCAUAUGAUGUCAUAAUCUCAAAGUGCCCUCUCUCAGAGGAUAUAGGAAUACACAUAUGGAGUUGUCAGAGAUGCGCUGGUUGGCGAUCACGAACACAUGCAAGGCAACAGCCUAUAACAAUGGCAGUAAAUUGCCAAUUCGUCUACUGCCAACCUUGCCCACUCACCACAUGGUCUACUUUCAUUUAAUAGUCUAAUUCCAUUCCGUCCAUCAACAUUUCGUCUAACAACCAUUUGGUCCAAUCAUCACUUCGCCUAAUCACCAUUUCGUCUAUGACCAUUUCUUCUCAUAACCAGUUGGUCUAAUAUCUUUCAUUUUCAUUCAUUUUGCAAUUAGACCAAAUGGUAUGGACUGAAUGGCUAUUACCAACUGGUUAUUAGACGAAAUGGUAAGUGGACGAAUUGGCAACAGACGAAUUGGAAAUAAACCACAAUGGCAGCGCGAUGUCUUCAAUGUAUAUUAGGUCUAGAGUAUUGAGGAUAGACCUGUUGAUAUGAGAAUGAUCAGUCGAGUUGGGGAUACUGUGUAUAAAGUCGUUUGGGAUAGAGCCUGGCGGGAUUUGCUGUUCAUAAAGUUAAGAGCGACUUUACGAACGACUUGCGAUCCUUUCUUGUGACAGGUGAUGCACACCAUGUUGAUUUAGUUACUAAGAAAGGAUCACCAGUCUUUUUUAAAGUCGAUUGUAACUUACGAAAAGCUUUAUGAAACACCCACCAGGAAGAAACCUCAAUGAAGAGGGAGGGAAAGACAGAGAAAGAGAGAGAGAGGGAAAAGAGGAUUGGAGGAUGUGAGUAGGGCAAGGAGAGGGAGUGGUACUGGAGUGGAUAUGAGAGAGAUCAAGAAGGAAAGGGAAAAGGGAUGGGUUGGGACUUGUACUGAUAGCUAUUAUCUGAUUCUGUUGACGAUUUCCUAAAUGUAACUAUAUUAGGUGGAAAAUCAUCCUUUAUUCUAAAUCCUCGGGAUGCCUAACCCCUCAAAAAGCAUUUAAAGUCAUAGGGAUUAACAUUCUCAGACAAGUUAUAUUUAGGGAAUAUUUCAGUCUCCAUCAGCCAAGAAUUCGAAUGUGUAUGGUAGUCCAGUGCCGGCCACCGCACAAUAACGAUGUUAGCCUAACUGUGCGCUAACAGUAAGCCCAGUCACAUCUUUCGGAUUGUGAAGUCGAAACAUUUAUUUCAAUGUGUAUUAGUAUAAAGGCAUUAUUACAUGUAGGUGUCACUGCCACAUUACUGGUUGUAUACGUGCCUCUGUUAGCGCAUUGUUAGCGCUAAAUAGACCCUCUGUAUCUGUGCUACAGUACAUUAUGGGCUGGUAGGUUGAUAUCAAGCUUGGAGUAUCAGCUUGAGAUUUGGAUCGAGUGCUUGCAUUUUGGACACAUGCUUUGAAUAACUUGUGAUGUUCUAAUACAAUAAUUGUAUCAUGAUUGAAUUAAAAAGUAGUCAAAAUCAAGUACGCCUAUUAUGUACAGGCCUUUUCCUGAGAGUGUAACAAAAACUCAAGUUGACUUGGACUGUAAAUAUGAAUUUUAGUUGUUUUUAUUUUGUUAUUCAUUUAUUACAUACAUGUAGUUCAUGAACUAAUUUGUUUAAUUGUUUGUUUAUUUAUUCAUUUUUUUCAGGGGGGGGGGGGGCUUUUUUCUCGAUCUAGUGCCUGAAUCUGCAACAUUGGAUUAGCUUUAACAUUGAGGUGAAUAGGCAUUUUCUGUGGCUCUGUUUUUCCAGGGAUCUUCUUAGUAUUUCCGGGGGGGGGGGGGGGAUUGCCCCGAGCCCCUGUAUAUUCCCCCGAGCCCCUGUAUAUUCCCCCUGCUGCACAUGUAAUCUUUGAGAUGAAAUAGCCCACUAUGAGCCGAACAUUUGAUAUGAUCGGUUUAGUUUCAUAGGUGCGUAAUCAGAAUCAGCAGGCUAUUCUGGUAUCACGGGCUAAUGGAUACAGGCCUUACGACAGUGAUAAUGAUGGAUGCAGACAGGAGGAUUGGAUGAGGAUUCUGAAUUCUAAUGGUCACUAUAAAGUUAAUUGAACAAGGGCAUACAUGUAGCAAGGAUUGCUAUGCUCAAGCCUGUCAAAUCCUUUACGAAGGCCUACAACCCUACAUAUGUGUAUGUAUGUAGGCCUUUCAUAAACAUUAUGGCCCGUAUUCUGAUAGCAGGUUUAACUUAAACUCAGGUUUAAAGUUGUGGUUUAAGUAUGGAAAGCCAAAAGUAUCAAAAUUUUUAUUAAGUUGUAUGUUUCUUAUGUUUAAUUUGCUCUUUCCUGAUUCAUCGAUGGUGAAGACAAUCAUCUAUUUAUACUUCCUAGACAAUUAUGAAUGAUUUGAGAGCCAAAUGAGCUGAAGUAUGAUAUCUCUACUGUUAGUGAUUUAUGUAACAAUUGGCUGUCCAUACUUAAACCACAACUUUAAACCUGAGUUUAAGUCAAACCUGCCAUCAGAAUACGGGCCACUGGCUUUAGCAGAAAUAUUCCUCAGACCUUUACCCAACUUUUUUCAGGGAGCAUUUUAAUUCUCAAAUGUGACAGGUAGUUUUGGUCAUUUGGAAAAAUUCCAACAAAAUUGUGUACAGUCAGUCCUACAUAAAAUUGUGCUGAUCAAACGAUAUUUGUGUCUUAGACUUGUAGAGAAAAAGCAUUGUAAAUCUUGAUGCAAAAUUGUUACCAAGUUUUUAUAUUAAUUUGUCAUGUUAUCAAAAUACAUUAAGGAAAUUCCACAAAUAAAAUUAAGUCCAUGAGGUACAGAGAUUAUUGAUCCUUGUGGAGCGUGAAAUGAUACAUGCGCAGAUCAGGGUUCACUCAACCGUAACUGGAAAUUCCUAUGUGAAAAAUUGCUUCAUUUCAUAUUGUCUAAUUACUAUACUAUUUCAUAAACAGCGCAGGAAUCUAAUCUUCUCUUAUAAUGACAUUAUUAAUUUAUGUUUUAUUUAUUUUUCUUUUGGGGGUGGGUUUUGAGGCAGAAAAUGUUAGAU
Long non-coding RNA from Lytechinus pictus (painted urchin), 3582 nucleotides. RefSeq lists it as uncharacterized. The transcript has 3 exons. NCBI's taxonomy places the organism in Eukaryota, Metazoa, Echinodermata, Echinoidea, Temnopleuroida, Toxopneustidae. The record is from RefSeq and is a predicted model, not a curated record.